GCACGUAGUUAGCUGGCGCUUAUUCUACAGGUACCGUCAUUCGCAGACUGUGUUAGCAUGCUGAGGUGUUCUUCCCUGACAAAGGAGCUUUACAACCCGAAGGGCUUCUUCACUCAGGCGGCAUUGGUGGAUCAGGGUUGCCCACCUAGUUGGCCUAAAUUCCCCA
Molecule: ribosomal RNA, 166 nt
Filed under: uncultured bacterium
Lineage: Bacteria
Description: partial 16S ribosomal RNA
Source: RNAcentral